Molecule: ribosomal RNA, 253 nt
Filed under: uncultured bacterium
Lineage: Bacteria
Description: partial 16S ribosomal RNA
Rfam family: Bacterial small subunit ribosomal RNA
Source: RNAcentral
UACGGGGGGGGCAAGCGUUAUUCGGAAUUAUUGGGCGUAAAGGGCGCGUAGGCGGCUUGGCAAGUGGAAGGUGAAAUCCCUCGGCUUAACCGAGGAACUGCCCUCCAAACUGCUUCGCUUGAGACCAGGAGAGGUGAGUGGAAUUCCCAGUGUAGUGGUGAAAUGCGUAGAUAUUGGGAGGAACACCAGUGGCGAAGGCGGCUCACUGGACCGGAACUGACGCUGAGGCGCGAAAGCGUGGGGAGCAAACGGG